This 239-nucleotide ribosomal RNA is filed under the name uncultured bacterium. RNAcentral describes it as "partial 16S ribosomal RNA". It matches the Rfam family "Bacterial small subunit ribosomal RNA", at positions 83 to 334 of the family's 1533-position model. The record is from RNAcentral.
UCCAUGAGUAAAGUGGCGACCGGGUGAGUAACACGUGACUAACCUACCCCUAAAGUGGGGGAAUAACCUCGGGAAACCGAGGCUAAUACCGCAUAACAUCGCAAGAUCAAAGCAGCAAUGCGCUUGAAGAGGGGGUCGCGGCUGAUUAGCUAGUUGGCGGGGUAACGGCCCACCAAGGCGAAGAUCGGUAGCCGGCCUGAGAGGGCGCACGGCCACACUGGAACUGAAACACGGUCCAG